UAUCCUCGUAGUUGUGCAUCAUUCAUUUUGAAAUACAAUGUUCUUUGAGUUGCUCUGCAUUUUCCGGGCUGUAUGGCCAUGUUCCAGAAGCAUUCUCUCCUGAUGUUUCACCGACAUCUAUGGCAGGCAUCCUCAGAGGUUGUGAAGGAUAUUGGAAAGCUAACCAAGGGAGGUUUAUAUAUCUGUGGAAGGUCCAGAGUGGACUCCAGUGGACCUCCAACAGACAAGAUUGAGGAUGUCAUAGAAAAGUCUACAUGAUUGUUCAAAAAGAUAACUUGAUUGCAUUCUGGAUUAACAUAAUCUUGAACACCAAAUCCCAUAAAUAAAGAAUUGUUGUUGUUGGGUAUAAUAGUUAGAUGGAAGUUGCAGUCCAGACCAAAACAUUUCUUGGGUUAAAGUUUCUCAAUUUAUACUCUACAUUAUCUUGGGCAGAGGUUCUUCUUGUCCAAUACAACCCAGUAGAUCUCUUAACAACAGCCUACUUGGAGGACCGUUGAGGAGAACCUCAAAGAACCAUGAGCAAGAAGAUACUAGACCUUGAACAAUAAACUUCUUGACCACUCCUUACUACUACUGAGCUUUCUUUCUUCUCAACAGAACAAAUAGAGCCAUUCAAGGAUAAUUCUCAACUUGAUAUUUGCUGUCAGCAUGGUGUUCUUCUGCCCAACUCAUGCUUAACUUAGUUGCGCCAUUUCCUGCUCAAGUAAACAUUCUUCUUGUGAGGUCUUCUGGGAGAACUUCAAACACAAAGGAGGAGCUUUGAUCAGCCAUCAGCCUACUAAGGGUCACCCACAUGUUAUUUGUCUGUUUGUGGCAAAUUGCAUAAACAUAAUGUCGUGUCCCAGAAAGGUAACCUAAUGCAAGCUGUCGUCCCGUCAGCAAUUUUUGUUCGUAUUUCCCCCUCAAUAGUACUUAUUAUUUGUGCUUAUAAGACACCUACAAAACAGGUUCCUGAGGCAUCGUACAAUUACCUUGACGAAAGGAUCAUGCGACAAAAUGCUUACAAAUAUGUGAAAAUGCAAUCCUCCUAUGUAAAUGGGAUUUUAAAAAGGGACUGGGCUGGGAUUAUAGAUCUGCAAUGUCAAGCCGAUUGUCACAAUAUAUAAAUAGCUGAAGCCGAAUGUGGAAUAAAGCAGUGGAUAAAAUCGUCAAAGUGUCAUAGAGAUCCAAAUGGCCAAUAUUUAAAAGGAUUAGAAGAACAAGUGCGUCUCAUCUAAGAACAGAACAGACAGUGUUGAAACCAGACACAUUUAUAGUAGGGAGAACAUUCUUAGAGUUGCUAUGAGUUUUCCGUGCUGUCUGUCCAUGUUCCAGAAGCAUUCUCUCUUGAUGUUCAGGCAUCCUCAGAGGUUGUGAGGUCUGUUGGAAACUAGGCAAGUGGGGUUUAUAUAUCUGCGAAAUCUCCAGGUGGGAGACAGGUAGACUCCUUGAGAGGUGAGAUGAUCUCUCUUGUCUUUUGCUGAACGUAGCAUUUGUUGGAUUUUCUUGGUGGGUCUGAAGAUAGUUUGUAGGUUGUGGUUCUUCACCAGGUUCCCUAUGUGGUCAGUGGUUCCAUUGAUGUAUGGUAAGAACACUUCCUCUGGGUUGCCAUCAUCUUGACUCUCGUAGCUUGUUCUUGACCUGUCUGUGGUGUCUGUGGUGGAGUCUCCAUUGGCCUGGAGAGCCCAGUUGAGGUGGUUCAGUUCACCUUGGAGGAGAUAUGGUUUGCAUGGUCUGCCAGGGCUUUGAUUCUUCUCCUUUUUUAACCUGGGUAAUGGUGGGAGUUUUUCUGUGAGUAUCUAUCCAUAUGUGUAGGUUUUCUGUCAACUGUGUGGUCCAAUUGUUGACUGGGUUUGCGGAUGACUAGGACAUCUAGAAAUAACAGUUUUCCUUCAUUUUCUUUGUCUAUGGAGAAUUGGCUGUUUGCGUGGAUGCUGUUGAGGUGGUCCAGGAACUUGUUGAGUUCUUCUCCAUGGCUCCAAAUGGUGAAGGUGUUGUCCACAUAUUUGAACCAUAUAGUGGUGUCAUCCACAUAUUUGAACCAUCUAGUGGGCUUUUUUGUUGCUGCUUCCAGGACUUGUUUCUCAAAGCGUUCCAUGUAGAAAUCUGCUAUGACUGGACUGAGAGGGCUCCCCAUGGCUACUCCAUCCUAAAAUCCAUCCUAGAAUCCAUUGUCCCAACGGAAGUAGCUAGUGAUGAAGCAAUGGCGAAACAGGGCUGUGGUGUCUUCUGGGAAAUUCUGGUUGAUUCGUGUGAUGAUGUCUGCUACCGAGACCUUGGUAAAUAGAGAUACCACAUCAAAGCUGAACAUUGGUGUUUGUCAUUGGUGUUAAGGUUGAGUUUGCUGAUUUUUUUUUCUAUGAAGUGGACUGAGUCCUUGAUGUAGUGCGUAGUGAGCCCAAUAUGGGUUUGUAGCUGUGUGGCCAGAAAUUUUGCCAGAUAGUACGUGGGGGAGCCAAUGACAAUCACGAUGGGUCUGAGUGGGGUGGAGUCCAUAUGGAUCUCUUUCCGCUGAAGCUCUGAAGACACUUCUAUCCAACCUGAGGUCACUCUCUGCUCAUUCUUCUCUAAAGUUAUAUGGGUCUGAGUGGGGUGGAGUCCAUGUGGAUCUCUUUCCGCUGAAGCUCUGAGGACACUUCUGUCCAACCUGAGGUCACUCUCUGCUCAUUCUUCUCUAAAGAUGUAUGGGUCUGAGUGGGGUGGAGUCCAUAUGGAUCUCUUUCCGCUGAAGCUCUGAAGACACUUCUAUCCAACCUGAGGCCACUCUCUGCUCAUUCUUCUCUAAAGAUGUAUGGGUCUGAGUGGGGUGGAGUCCAUAUGGAUCUCUUCCUGCUGAAGCUCUGAGGACACUUCUGUCCAACCUGAGGUCACUCUCUGCUCAUUCUUCUCUAAAGAUGUAUGGGUCUGAGUGGGGUGGAGUCCAUAUGGAUCUCUUCCUGCUGAAGCUCUGAGGACACUUCUGUCCAACCUGAGGUCACUCUCUGCUCAUUCUUCUCUAAAGUUAUAUGGGUCUGAGUGGGGUGGAGUCCAUGUGGAUCUCUUCUUGCUGAAGCUCUGAUGACACUUCUGUCCAACCUGAGGUCACUCUCUGCUCAUUCUUCUCUAAAGAUGUAUUUUUAGAGUAUUUUUCAUACUUACUAUCGUGGGUGGAAAGUUGAACCAAGGUUUGCAUCCUAUUGGGGUUACAUGUCAGGUAAUACCAUUUACUCCAUUCAUAUAUCAGCUCAAUAAUUGAUUCGGUAGCACUUCAUCUCCUUACACGUCUUUCUUAAGUCAAUGUUUUACAUAUCUGCUAGCUGUAUCGGGGAAAUUUCAUAAAAGGAGGUUCUGCUUUUCUUGGAGAGCAAGCACUGAAGCUUGGUGACGUGAUGGCAUUCAGGAAAUUGCAACCCGGAGUCAUUUUUGGCCUAUGGAGUUAUAAUAUGAAAUUCAUCAGAAGGGCGUAACAUUCACUAUAUUACACCCUGGUGAGGAGAAACUAAUUGUCACUUAGCUGGGAGGGUCAAUUAUUUUCUUAGGCCCUAAACUAUUUACUAUAAAAUGAGGUGUUCCCUUAUGACAACGGAUUAGGAAAUCCAGGGUGGGUAUCUCCAUGCCUCGAGGAGAUGUUGCUGAGUGUAUAAAAAGCUCAACCUUGAGGGUUCUUGCAGAACAAUUUCCCUCUAGACAUUAGUCCUUUCAAGAACUGACUCCUCUCAAGUCCUGCCAAGAUGUCCAAUGAGGGAAACCAGUGCUAUUCCUGCUGCCCUGCUUCCACGGUGACCAUCCAGCCACCUCCUUUCGUCCUGACCAUCCCGGGACCUGCUCUCUACUGCCCUGACCAACCAUUGGCUAUUGAGCAGCACAACCCCUGUGUCGUCGCUAGCAGCGGAGGAGCCAGACCCGCCCUGCAUGCCAAUGGUGGCUCCAAUUUCACCAGCUUCUACUCCCGGGUUUUGCCAAGCAGCAUAUACAACUAUACCUACCGCUCAUAGGAAAUGAUGGAGAUGGAAAAUGAAGCAAGAAGCCACACUUACGUCCAUAACUGUCAUUUGUUGUCCAAGGAGCUGAACAUGUAAUGUUCAACACCUCUAAAGUUCCGAUUGUAAUGCAUGCUUUGCUUCCCCAUUGUUCAUUUUCAUCUUGUCUAUGUCUUCUUCUAUGUGUGUGUUGUUGAUGUAUCUGGGUGUCUCUACAUGAAUCGAGACAUGUACUAACCCAACUGCUAUUCAUUAUUGGCUGUGAGAAAGAGGUGGAGAUAAGCCUGCUGAGUUAUCCAACCUGUCCGAGGUCUUUUAUGGUGACCACCCAAAAAAGGGAAGCUCUUCUUGUUUCUGAAGGCCACCUUGUUUGUUAAACCGAAUUGAAUGUCUUCCUUCUUGUCUUUGUUUCUAUUAAAACCAUAACUAAAGUUGCAUCCUCA
Molecule: long non-coding RNA, 4381 nt
Organism: Anolis carolinensis (green anole)
Lineage: Eukaryota; Metazoa; Chordata; Lepidosauria; Squamata; Anolidae
Exons: 2
Source: RefSeq, a predicted model, not a curated record